RNAcentral lists this unclassified non-coding RNA (2012 nucleotides) under Cyanidioschyzon merolae strain 10D. RNAcentral describes it as "hypothetical transcript". The record is from RNAcentral. Lineage: Eukaryota; Rhodophyta; Bangiophyceae; Cyanidiales; Cyanidiaceae.
GACUAGACAGUACUGGAUACUGUGAAAGCGUACGGAUCCGAUUUAUUUUGUUUGACAAAACGCUGCCGUAUAUAAUGGAUCCCAGAUAGCGGGAUCGAUAUUGGUAAUCGAGAAAGCGUUCAUCAUGAUGCACUCUACUUCCAAGUUACAUUUCCAAUGCUUCCUUCCAGGUACACGAGUCGUUUUGUACGUUCUGUCGUGCACCUAACCUGCCUUACUGCGUUCGCAAUAGCUGCUAGACCGCUGGUGCGGAUGCAGCACGGAGACGGAACGGCUAUGCCAUAGCAAUGAGGGUGUCGGCUCGAAGCCUGGUUCACCUGAUACGGGGUUGGGGUUCAUGAUCAUUCUGGGAGCUUGGAAACUGUGCGGACAGACCUAAUGCCCGCAUCAGCGCGAAGCGAUAUACCAUCAGGCCACUGCAGUCGGGGCGACAACCGGAUGCAUUCUUCCCGCUCCUAAUCCCAGAAUAAUCUGCGUCUCAAACGAGUUGUCCAUGGAUGGUCACAGCACCCGUCAUAGGGUGGAGCGUACAGCACGAGCCGCACAGACCCGUCCAGCUCACGCGACCUUCCGCGUAGAAGGUGGGCUUUGGGAAACACGGAACAGUGUUCCCACUCCCAACGCUCACCGUAGACGAGGAACGAUGUUGCUAUUUCGUUGCUACCCAGUGAUUAGUUUCUGUUCUUUCGACACAGUUACAGCUAGUAAGUCGUUCGUUUCUGUAGUUUUAUGCGCUCGCCCAUAGAAAAGAGCAACCGCACUGAUCCGAUGCUUGGGGUAGCCACGUGCCUGCUGCAUGGGUCAACCUUUUCCGUGCAGCGGAUCCAUACCGGGCAUACAAAAGUCCUGGCGUGACUGAAUCGAGACCAAGUCUCGUUUUUUUACAUACUGGUAUGGAAGAUAUUGUUGGCUGCGUUCGGAUGUGUCAAUGCUGCGAGUAACUGGGCUAGGAACUCGCCAUCAGCUGAUCAUCCCAUAGAUCCCAAACUGAAAUCCAUUGGUAUGCGGCGAAUCUGCCUGCAUGACCGGUGACGGAGAACGUAGUCGCCGACCUCGAUGCCCGCCAAGACGCUCACGCUGGAACGAGCGUGGUAUCCUCUAAAGCUGGCGGCAAGCGGUUCUUUCGGGCAAGCCCCGCCACAAGUUGCGAUCAGCCUCAGCGCAGUGCCUGUAUCCAGUCGUGAGAGUCGGUUCCGAAGUACCACUCGCUCGCAGUAACCCGAAACUGAGUGCACCUUCACCAGAACAGGAAACUUGUAAAAGUUGCUGAGUUUCGAACAGCGAGCAACGUGAAACGCAGCGCAGCCGAAUAGGUGCAUGUGCCACACACACACACACACGUGCAGAGUCGUUGAUCGAAGAUUUGGAAGCGUUGCGCUCCUCUCGCUCGAUGUCUUGCCUUCCUAGAAGUGUAUCAAGCAUGCCCCACCGCCAUCAUCCGACGCAUGGAGCCAUUGUUCGAGACGCAGCGUGGCAGCGCUGAGCCCUUUCGGCAAAUGCCGCGCAGCUGGAGGCAAGUUUGUUUGCCAAUCACCAACAAGCUACAGCGACGCACCACGAACGAGGUCUCGUCAUUGCGAUAACAGUCCCUGCAGAUAGAUGCUCGAUUGGUUCCGUCGUCAUUCCUCGCAGCAACCAGGCUCCAGCAUGAUCUGGCGAGCCCCACGGGCAGCGUACCGUGUCGAAUGUGGUCGCAGCAUUAGUCGAUCUCGUCCCAGAGGUCCGGGCUCGCGUCGACAUCUACCCAUUGCCGCUGAACGCGUUCGGCGAAUACGGUGGCCAAAUACUCGCCCGGGUGACCAUACAAUUCACCGGUAUUCGCCUUGCCCCAACUGAGAAUAAAUUCCGGAUACUUGUCCGGCAAACCGGCAUUUUCGCGCUGACGCCGCAUGAGCUCCAGGUAGGGGUUCACAGAAACCAAACAGUAACCUUCAGCGCGCAACUUUGACGGGAACCGCAACCGCAGCCGCUCUUCGAGCCUCCUCGGGACAAAGUCGCCAACCAGAUAAACA